AAUACAUACGUCAAUCACCAAGUACAAAUACUCAAAAUUUCAAACUUUGUAUUAAAAUAUGUUAGGUGUUCUUUUAAAAGAGGGACGAAAGAUACCAAAAGGACAGUCAAACUCAUAAAUCUAAAACAAACUGACAACGCCAUGGCUAAAAAUGAAAAAGACAAACAAACAACAGCACACACGACACAACAUAGAAAACUAAAGAAUAAACAACACGAAC
Molecule: long non-coding RNA, 220 nt
Filed under: Mytilus galloprovincialis (Mediterranean mussel)
Lineage: Eukaryota; Metazoa; Mollusca; Bivalvia; Mytilida; Mytilidae
Source: RNAcentral